GACGAACGCUGGCGGCGUGCUUAACUCAUGCAAGUCGAACGAUGAUGCUGGAGCUUGCUCCAGUUGAUUAGUGGCGAACGGGUGAGUAACACGUGAGCAAUCUGCCCUUGACUCUGGGAUAACUGCGGGAAACUGUAGCUAAUACCGGAUACUUUCACCGGGGGGCAUCCUCUGGUGAUGAAAGAAUUUCGGUCAAGGAUGAGCUCGCGGCCUAUCAGCUUGUUGGUGAGGUAACGGCUCACCAAGGCGACGACGGGUAACCGGCCUGAGAGGGGGACCGGUCACACUGGGACUGGGACACGGCCCAGACGCCUACGGGAGGCAGCAGUGGGGAAUAUUGCACAAUGGGCGCAAGCCUGAUGCAGCAACGCCGCGUGAGGGAUGAAGGCCUUCGGGUUGUAAACCUCUUUUAGCAGGGAAGAAGCGAAAGUGACGGUACCUGCAGAAAAAGCACCGGCUAACUACGUGCCAGCCGCCGCCGUAA
This 484-nucleotide ribosomal RNA is filed under the name uncultured bacterium. RNAcentral describes it as "partial 16S ribosomal RNA". It matches the Rfam family "Bacterial small subunit ribosomal RNA", at positions 28 to 523 of the family's 1533-position model. The record is from RNAcentral.